RNAcentral lists this ribosomal RNA (426 nucleotides) under uncultured bacterium. RNAcentral describes it as "bacterial SSU rRNA". It matches the Rfam family "Bacterial small subunit ribosomal RNA", at positions 356 to 774 of the family's 1533-position model. The record is from RNAcentral.
GAGGAAUAUUGGACAAUGGGCGCAAGCCUGAUCCAGCCAUGCCGCGUGCAGGAUGAAGGCCUUCGGGUUGUAAACUGCUUUUGUACGGAACGAAAAGACUCUGGUUAAUACCUGGGGUCCAUGACGGUACCGUAAGAAUAAGCACCGGCUAACUACGUGCCAGCAGCCGCGGCAAUACGUAGGGUGCGAGCGUUAAUCGGAAUUACUGGGCGUAAAGCGUGCGCAGGCGGUUAUGUAAGACAGAUGUGAAAUCCCCGGGCUCAACCUGGGACCUGCAUUUGUGACUGCAUAGCUAGAGUACGGCAGAGGGGGAUGGAAUUCCGCGUGUAGCAGUGAAAUGCGUAGAUAUGCGGAGGAACACCGAUGGCGAAGGCAAUCCCCUGGGCCUGUACUGACGCUCAUGCACGAAAGCGUGGGGAGCAAACA